GACGAACGCUGGCGGCGUGCCUAAUACAUGCAAGUAGAACGCUGAAGGAAGGAGCUUGCUCUUUCUGGAUGAGUUGCGAACGGGUGAGUAACGCGUAGGUAACCUGCCUGGUAGCGGGGGAUAACUAUUGGAAACGAUAGCUAAUACCGCAUAAAAUUGAUUAUUGCAUGAUAGUCAAUUAAAAGGUGCAACUGCACCACUACCAGAUGGACCUGCGUUGUAUUAGCUAGUUGGUGGGGUAACGGCUCACCAAGGCGACGAUACAUAGCCGACCUGAGAGGGUGAUCGGCCACACUGGGACUGAGGCACGGCCCAGACUCCUACGGGAGGCAGCAGUAGGGAAUCUUCGGCAAUGGACGGAAGUCUGACCGAGCAACGCCGCGUGAGUGAAGAAGGUUUUCGGAUCGUAAAGCUCUGUUGUAAGAGAAGAACGAGUGUGAGAGUGGAAAGUUCACACUGUGACGGUAUCUUACCAGAAAGAGACGGCUAACUACGUG
RNAcentral lists this ribosomal RNA (497 nucleotides) under uncultured bacterium. RNAcentral's name for it is "partial 16S ribosomal RNA". It matches the Rfam family "Bacterial small subunit ribosomal RNA", at positions 28 to 507 of the family's 1533-position model. The record is from RNAcentral.